CUAAAAUUAAAGGCAUAGCAGCGCAGGCAUGCAGACUUUAAGAGUGCUCGCUCACAACUUGGUGUUUAAGAACUACACAGGCGCCAACCUGAAAUGACACGUGCGCAGUGUCCGAGGUCUUACUCGUUUUCGUACCUGCGGGCAGGCUGAGCCCGCUUCUGCGCUGGAGUUGAUACUACGCAAGCGCCGGGGGUGCAUGACGUCAUCCGAGCGCGCCUCCCACAGUACACAAGCCCUGGGCUCAGACACAGACGUUGCUGUGGAGACGGGGCGUUGAGAUUGGAGGAGAGCCGGUCAGUUGAUGUUGCUGUCUUACAGACACUGAAACCCCAGGUGGAAGAAGUUAACUACAUCAUGACCAGACUGUACCCAUGAUAUAAGCCGCUGGAAUUCCGAGAACUGGAUGCAAGAAAUGGAAACAAACUGACCCUGGAACUGAAUAUUAACUGUACUUAAAACUGUCAAGAUGACGCUGGUCAGACCACUGAUGACCAGUUUCAAGGAGCAGGUGAUGAACUCACUCCGAUUGACAUAUUGAGAGCUGCUCUUCCCAGAUCCAGCUGGCAGCUUCGUAAUUAUGGAAACAUCUAUGUUGUUCCCACUUACCCAGGGCUAGGCCUGCUGGUAUCUGAUUCAGUGUUUACUUCAUGAAUGAGGAUGGUUCCACUUGUGUGGCGUGAGAAUGACUCAGAAUGCCUUGGAAGCCACCUCCAGAGAGCAAUGAGACCGGUAGCUGCUAACACACAUGCCGGAAAGCAACGUGGAGGAGCCACAGUCCCAGAUGUAAAGACGGUCAGCCCUGGGGCUACAGGAGACCUCAGAACAUCUCUGCCCACUGGAGGAUCUAAAGAGCCCGUUCAAGUUGAGUCGGAUUCAGAUCACUUCCCUGACAUCCUCCCUCUGGAGUACCACCUGAGACUUCUCUGGUGGUCUAGUGGUUGCAAAUUCACCUGCCAAUGCAGGGGACACGGGUUCAAUCCCUGGUCCAAGAAGAUCCCACACGCCAAGGGGCAACUAAACCGGUGCACCACAACUACUGAGCCCGAGCACAGCCAAAAAUAAAUAUUUUUGAAAAAAAAAAAAAUAGUACAACCUGUGUAAGCCCCAAGAUGCUCUAUCCAUUCAUUCCUGUGACCCAAACCCCCAUGACUUGCUGUCAGUGCUGCUGUCUGUUCUAGCCACCAUUGUCAUGUCACUUUCCAAUCGAAACGAUCUUUUCCCUUGCAUGUGCUUCUGGGAAUUUUUGAACACUAGACUCUAAACAAAGUUCCUUCCUUCACCCCCUCUGGCCUCAUCACCUCAGCUCUCUGUCCACUCAGUUGCUGCCACCCCAGCCAUCCUGCUGAUUCUUGAACUUAUCAGACACGUGCAACUGGAGUCUUGGCACGUGCUGCUUCCUCCAUUUGGAACACACUCUUGGGGUCAUCUACGUGGCUACCUCGGUCCCUUCCUUUAGGUCUUCAUCCACAUGCCUGCCAGCCAGUGAGACCUUCCCAACCACACUCCUCCCCGGACCACCCCAGCCACCCACCCCUGUGUGUCUUCCUUCCACACAGAUGGUCCCUGGAGCUUUCAUCCAUAUCUGUAACAGCAGCUUCUACCUGUCUGUUCUCUGCCUGCCUCCCUCAUUGGAACACCAGCUCUGUGCGGGCAGGGAUUUGACAUUUUUUUGUUUACUGUCACAGCCCAAUACCUGUAAUAGGGCUUACAUUUCCUCCAUAAAGGAGGCUGAGUGCCGAAGAAUUGAUGCUUUCAAACUCUGGUGUUGGAGAAUACUCUUGAGAGUCCUUUGGACAGCAAGGAGAUCAAAUCAGUCAGUCCUAAAGGAAAUCAACCCUGAGUAUCCAUUGGAAGGAGUGAUGCUGAAACUGAAGCUCCAAUACUUUGGCUACCUUAUGUGAAAGGCCAAUUCACUGGAAAAGACCCUAAUGCUGGGAAAGACUGAAGGCAGGAGGAGAAGGGGGCGACAAAGGAUGAGAUGGUUGGAUGGCAUCACUGACUCAAUGGACAUGAGUUUGAGCAAACUCUGGGAGAUAGUGGAGGAUACAGGAGCCUGUUGUGCUGCAAUACAUGGGGUCACAAAAAGUCAAACAUGAUUUAGUGACUGAAGAACAUUAAAUACACAUUGAAAGAUUUCCUGAGCGUUCCCUGCACACUGGGCACUAGCUGAGACACUGGAUGUUUUUGCAAAGUCUAUUCAGUGAUUAGGCAUUCACUCUACUUUAAGAAACUCACUUCAUGGCAAAUAGAAGGAGAAAAUGUGAAAACAGUGACAGAUUUUACUUUCUUGAGCUCCAAAAUCACUGCAGAUUGUGACUUCAGCCAUGAAAUUCAAAGACGCUUGCUCCUUGGAAGGGAGGCUAUGAAAAGCUCAGUUCAGUUCAGUUCAUUUCAGUCACUCAAUCAUGUCAGACUCUUUGCCACCCCAUGGAUAGCAGCACACCAGGCCUCCCUGUCCAUCACCAACUCCCGGAUUUU
Capra hircus (goat) is the source of this 2478-nucleotide long non-coding RNA. Lineage: Eukaryota; Metazoa; Chordata; Mammalia; Artiodactyla; Bovidae. The record is from Ensembl.